This 254-nucleotide ribosomal RNA is filed under the name uncultured bacterium. RNAcentral's name for it is "partial 16S ribosomal RNA". It matches the Rfam family "Bacterial small subunit ribosomal RNA", at positions 524 to 776 of the family's 1533-position model. The record is from RNAcentral.
UACGGGGGGGGCAAGCGGUUGUUCGGAAUUACUGGGCGUAAAGGGCUCGUAGGCGGCCAACUAAGUCGGACGUGAAAUCCCCAGGCUCAACCUGGGAACUGCGUCCGAUACUGGAUGGCUUGAAUUCGGGAGAGGGAUGCAGAAUUCCAGGUGUAGCGGUGAAAUGCGUAGAUAUCUGGAGGAAUACCGGUGGCGAAGGCGGCAUCCUGGACCGACAUUGACGCUGAGGAGCGAAAGCUAGGGGAGCAAACGGG